This 967-nucleotide long non-coding RNA is filed under the name Amborella trichopoda. Its description in RNAcentral is "long non-coding RNA (ATRI_LNC002457)". Lineage: Eukaryota; Viridiplantae; Streptophyta; Magnoliopsida; Amborellales; Amborellaceae. The record is from RNAcentral.
CGAAUUCUUACAAGGUAACAAAAGAAAGUUUAGGCACAAUUACAAAAUCUUCCAGAGUUGAUCCUGACGACCACUCAAAAUGAAACCGUAGUUAUCCUGAAAAAUGUUUACCAUAGUUUGAUGAGUUUGGCUACUCAGUAAGUGAUCAUCAUAAUCUUAAAAAUAAUCAUCGAUGAAAGAUAUAAACAAACUUUCAAAAUGGAGGUCAAUAAAAAAAACAAUGCGAACACAAGCAUUUAUAGAUAACAAUUUCACUUUCAGAAAUGCACAAUUAAACACAAUCCAAAUGAUUGAAAUGCAUAUAACAUUUUAACGGCAGUGCAUAAUUCAAAAGAUUCCACAAAAUUACUCUAUUAGCGUCCCAAAUAGGUCACCUAUAUACCCCAUCAGCAUCCUGAUGGGUCCACUUAAUCCCUAUCGGCGUCCCAGAUAGGUCCAUUUAAUCCCUGCAGGUCCACUUAUACCUCACUGGCGUACCGGAUGAGUCCACUUAAUCCCUACCAACGUCACGGAUAGGUCCACUUAUACCUCACCGGCGAAUCGGAUGAGUCCACUUGCAUACUUAAAUUAUUUCUAAAUCUCUUUAAACAUUUGAAAGCAGCAAUAUCAUGUGCUCAACAUAUCACUGAAAUCAUUAAUAUGAAUUUCAUUGAAACCAUUAAUAACAGUCACUUUCAAUAACAUUUCAAAAAUAACCAAUCAAAUAUUUUGGGCUCAAAUUUAGAAAGGUAGCAGUUCGUAAAGACAUUUUAGCAUAAUUGCCAAUCUAAUUUGCAUAGAAAAAUUCCUAUAGAAAUUCAAGAAUACGAAAUUAUCACAAUCUAUGGGAUAUCAAUUUGCAAAUAAACAUUUCACAGACAAUGCUAUAAUCAAAUACAAAAAUAUCAGUUUUCAAAUAAUAAGGCAGUCAUUUGCACAUGAAUUUUACAAUGUCUAAAUAUUCAAAAGCAGUAGAAAGAAAUCUCAC